RNAcentral lists this ribosomal RNA (586 nucleotides) under uncultured bacterium. RNAcentral describes it as "partial 16S ribosomal RNA". It matches the Rfam family "Bacterial small subunit ribosomal RNA", at positions 355 to 1375 of the family's 1533-position model. The record is from RNAcentral.
UGGGGAAUUUUGGACAAUGGGCGAAAGCCUGAUCCAGCAAUGCCGCGUGUGUGAAGAAGGCCUUCGGGUUGUAAAGCACUUUUGUCCGGAAAGAAAUCCUUGGCUCUAAUACAGUCGGGGGAUGACGGUACCGGAAGAAUAAGCACCGGCUAACUACGUGCCAGCAGCCGCGGUAAUACGUAGGGUGCAAGCGUUAAUCGGAAUUACUGGGCGUAAAGCGUGCGCAGGCGGUUUGCUAAGACCGAUGUGAAAUCCCCGGGCUCAACCUGGGAACUGCAUUGGUGACUGGCAGGCUAGAGUAUGGCAGAGGGGGGUAGAAUUCCACGUGUAGCAGUGAAAUGCGUAGAGAUGUGGAGGAAUACCGAUGGCGAAGGCAGCCCCCUGGGCCAAUACUGACGCUCAUGCACGAAAGCGUGGGGGAGCAAACAGGAUUAGAUACCCUGGUAGUCCACGCCCUAAAACGAUGUCAACUAGUUGUUGGGGAUUCAUUUCCUUAGUAACGUAGCUAACGCGUGAAGUUGACCGCCUGGGGAGUACGUCGCAAGAUUAAAACUCAAAUGAAUUGACGGGGUCAUAGCUGUUUCCU